UCAGCCAGUCCGCAAGCUCGCCUCUGGCAAUCGACAUCGGUCAACUCCACAUCGCGUGCGACACCUUUUGAGAGUCUUCGUGCGCAACGAUCAAUAGCGGUUCCCAUCAACAUCAGACGGUGACCGACUCGCCGUACGCGAAGCCAAA
Molecule: unclassified non-coding RNA, 148 nt
Filed under: Dufourea novaeangliae
Lineage: Eukaryota; Metazoa; Arthropoda; Insecta; Hymenoptera; Halictidae
Description: paxillin-like, transcript variant X2
Source: RNAcentral